GACGAACGCUGGCGGCGUGCUUAACACAUGCAAGUCGAACGGAAAGGCCCGGCUUUUGUGGGGUGCUCGAGUGGCGAACGGGUGAGUAAAACGUGAGUAACCUGCCCUUGACUUUGGGAUAACUUCAGGAAACUGGGGCUAAUACCGGAUAGGAGCUCCUGCUGCAGGGUGGGGGUGGGAAAGUUUCGGCGGUUGGGGAUGGACUCGCGGCUUAUCAGCUUGUUGGUGGGGUAGUGGCUUACCAAGGCUUUGACGGGUAGCCGGCCUGAGAGGGUGACCGGCCACAUUGGGACUGAGAUACGGCCCAGACUCCUACGGGAGGCAGCAGUGGGGAAUAUUGCACAAUGGGCGGAAGCCUGAUGCAGCAACGCCGCGUGCGGGAUGACGGCCUUCGGGUUGUAAACCGCUUUCGCCUGUGACGAAGCGUGAGUGACGGUAAUGGGUAAAGAAGCACCGGCUAACUACGUG
RNAcentral lists this ribosomal RNA (468 nucleotides) under uncultured bacterium. RNAcentral's name for it is "partial 16S ribosomal RNA". It matches the Rfam family "Bacterial small subunit ribosomal RNA", at positions 28 to 507 of the family's 1533-position model. The record is from RNAcentral.